RNAcentral lists this long non-coding RNA (345 nucleotides) under Rattus norvegicus (Norway rat). RNAcentral's name for it is "long non-coding RNA NONRATT007434". The record is from RNAcentral. Lineage: Eukaryota; Metazoa; Chordata; Mammalia; Rodentia; Muridae.
CUUGGCAGGAGCCUCAGGGAGCCCCGCUGCAGAACCAGCAGUCUUUUGGACCUUGCUCUCUAGAGAUCAAGCAGUUUCUGGAGUGUGCUCAGAACCAGAGCGAUGUCAAGCUCUGUGAGGGCUUCAAUGAGGUGCUGCGGCAGUGCAGGAUUGCAAAUGGUUUAAUCUAAUCAAGAAAUUCAAGCUGGAGAAAUGUAAACUUGGUUCUGUAUAAUUGAUAGUCACACGUGUGGAUCCUUAUUGGCAUUUACUGAGGCUUGUAGUGUUGGUUACUGGGCAAGUGUUUGGCUUCCUUGAACUAACUGUAUUGUGAUUGAGUUAAAUAAAGUGUGUUAUUCUCAAGUG